Molecule: ribosomal RNA, 518 nt
Filed under: uncultured bacterium
Lineage: Bacteria
Description: partial 16S ribosomal RNA
Rfam family: Bacterial small subunit ribosomal RNA
Source: RNAcentral
ACUCAAAGGAAUUGACGGGGACCCGCACAAGCGGUGGAACAUGUGGUUCAAUUCGAUGCUACGCGAAAAACCUCACCAAGGCUUGACAUGCAAGAAGUAGUGAACUGAAAGGGGAUCGACCUGUUAAGUCAGGAGCUUGCACAGGUGCUGCAUGGCUGUCGUCAGCUCGUGUCGUGAGAUGUUGGGUUAAGUCCCGCAACGAGCGCAACCAUUAUCCUUUGUUGCUAUCUUAUUUCCAGCUUGCUGGAGGUAGGAGCACUCUAAGGAGACUGCCCGGGAUAACCGGGAGGAAGGUGGAGAUGACGUCAAGUCAGUACGGCCUUUAUGCCUUGGGCUACACACGUGUUACAAUGGUCAUGACAGAGGGUUGCCAACCCGCGAGGGGGAGCUAAUCUCAAAAACGUGGCCUCAGUUCAGAUUGAAGUCUGCAAUCCGACUUCAUGAAGCUGGAAUCGCUAGUAAUGGCAGAUCAGCACGCUGCCGUGAAUACGUUCCCGGGUCUUGCACACACCGCCCGU